GACGAACGCUGGCGGCGUGCUUAACACAUGCAAGUCGAGCGGUAAGGCCCUUUCGGGGGUACACGAGCGGCGAACGGGUGAGUAACACGUGGGUGACCUGCCCUCAGCUCUGGGAUAAGCCUGGGAAACCGGGUCUAAUACUGGAUAUGACUCCAUGACGCAUGUUGUGGGGUGGAAAGCCUUGUGCGGCUGAGGAUGGGCCCGCGGCCUAUCAGCUUGUUGGUGGGGUGANGGCCUACCAAGGCGACGACGGGUAGCCGGCCUGGGAGGGCGACCGGCCACACUGGGACUGAGACACGGCCCAGACUCCUACGGGAGGCAGCAGUGGGGAAUCUUGCGCAAUGGGCGAAAGCCUGACGCAGCGACGCCGCGUGAGGGAUGACGGCCUGUGU
This 392-nucleotide ribosomal RNA is filed under the name uncultured bacterium. RNAcentral's name for it is "bacterial SSU rRNA". It matches the Rfam family "Bacterial small subunit ribosomal RNA", at positions 28 to 421 of the family's 1533-position model. The record is from RNAcentral.